UGUUGUUGCAGUUAAAAAGCUCGUAGUCGGAUUUCAGUAUUAGGCCCUUCUUCCAAUACGGUUGCUAGUGGUCUUUACUUCCUUAACAGAAUCUUUCAUCUCAUUAAUUUGGGGUGUUUGGGGCCUGUUUCUUUUACUUUGAGAAAAUUAGAGUGUUCAAAGCGGGUUUUCGCCUGGAUAUUACUCUUGGAAUAAUAAUAUAGGACUUUGGUUCUUUUUUGUUGGUGACUUGGAACCGAAGUAAUGAUUGAUAGGGACAGUUGGGGUCAUUCGUACUAUGAAGCGAGAGGUGAAAUUCAUGGACCUUUGUAUGACGAACUACUGCGAAAGCAUUUGACUAGGAUGUUCCCGUUGAUCAAGAACGAAAGUUGGGGGAUCGAAUACGAUCAGAUACCGUCGUAGUCUCAACCAUAAACUAUGCCAGCUAGGGAUGAGCGAUUGUCUUCAACUGACAUCGUUUGCACCUUAUGAGAAAUCAAAGCAUUUGGGUUCCGGGGGGAGUAUGGUCGCA
Molecule: ribosomal RNA, 511 nt
Filed under: uncultured marine eukaryote
Lineage: Eukaryota
Description: SSU rRNA
Rfam family: Eukaryotic small subunit ribosomal RNA
Source: RNAcentral